This 119-nucleotide ribosomal RNA is filed under the name Helianthus annuus (common sunflower). Lineage: Eukaryota; Viridiplantae; Streptophyta; Magnoliopsida; Asterales; Asteraceae. The record is from RNAcentral.
GGUUGCGAUCAUACCAGCACUAAUGCACCGGAUCCCAUCAGAACUCCGGAGUUAAGCGUGCUUGGGCGAGAGUAGUACUAGGAUGGGUGACCCCCUGGGAAGUCCUCGUGUUGCAACCC